GACACUGUGAGCUAGGCUCCCAUCUUUGCGAGCAUGUAUGAUGCUCCUCUUAUAACAAGCUUCUCCCUGGUUGAAAGUAAUACAUCUCCUGCGAUUUAAGUGACAGCCUUUGGAAUUGUUUCCUUUGGCUUUGGCAUAAAGAGGAAAUGUGAAUUCAACAUGAUCCGGAGUGGAAGGAACACAUUAUAUCUGAAGACUGGGUUUUUUCAUCUGGGCAGGACUUAGGAGACAGACCCCAUUAGGGACCUGAGGUUAUCCAGCUGGUAGACAAUAUGGUUAAAAUACAGAGAAGCAUAGGAUCCAAGAGAAGAACCUCUUCAUGCAUAAGGGAAGUCUGAGGUCCAGAGAGAGGAAGCAACUUGCCAAGUUUACACAGACCAUCUGACAGACCAAUAUCCAGCAGAACAACACAUUGGAAAAUAGCAUGCGAAAUGAUGCUACUUCAUGAUCUAAGCCCCAAGAAUGGACACCCCUUUCUAAGCAUCUACCCAGGGAAGAAGGAAUCCUUCCAUACCAAGAGACUGGGCUGUGUUUCUGGAAACAUGAGCCUUUAAAAGUGAAGCCGCAGCAUAAAACAAGAUCAAACAUAAAAAGAGCUUUUUCUCUCACCUUAUUUUAGUUCCAGAGCUCUAUAUUUAAUGAAAUAUUUAAUGAAAUAUCAGGAUGGAAAAGGCAAAGAGAGAUAAGUUGCCCUGCUCCUGAGACUGUGCCACACUUCAGCCCAAAGCAAAUUAAAUCAGGGGCUCCUUAGACUGAAGUCCUGGGAUGAGAAGCAGAGAGCAAGCUAACGGGUUCUGGGCUGAGCCCUGGCCAACUGUGGUAAUAAAACAUAGCGCGUGGACAUGGAGACUCUGGAACAAAAAUACCUUGUAGCUAUUAUUUUCAUGAGUCUCUCUGCCCAUCCACACACCUCCUCUCCCGUUCUUUUAAUCUGGAGCUACUGAGAAUCAGUAUUUUUCUCACCUUUGUAAUAUGAGAAACAAGUUAAUUAAAAUCAAUCCGAACUCCA
This is a long non-coding RNA of Canis lupus familiaris (dog), 1009 nucleotides long. RefSeq lists it as uncharacterized. The transcript has 3 exons. NCBI's taxonomy places the organism in Eukaryota, Metazoa, Chordata, Mammalia, Carnivora, Canidae. The record is from RefSeq and is a predicted model, not a curated record.